AUAGAGUCACUUUGCAUCAGCAGCUCCAUGCUCCAGCGCUCUGGGAGAGUUUAUAGUCCUGACAGUUGAACACUGGAUGACUGACAGCUGUCCUUCAUCACAACAGGAGACACAGAAAUCCUCUUCAUCAAAAACAUGACUUUGAUCUGCAUCCUCAUCUGGACUCUCCUCUGCUGCUGCUUCACAGAGGUCAGAGGUCAGGUCACAGUGACUCAGUCUUCAGCAGUGAGAGCUAAUCUGGGAGGAUCUGCCACCAUCACCUGUAGAACCAGUCAGAAUGUUUAUGUUUAUUUCGGCUCCCACUGUUUAGCCUGGUACCAACAGAAAGAUGGACAAACUCCUAAGCUCCUCAUUUAUUAUGCCAGCACUAAAGCAUCAGGGACUCCAAGUCGUUUUACAGGCAGUGGAUCAAACUCUGACUUCACUCUGACCAUCAGUGGAGUUCAGGCUGAAGAUGCUGCAGUUUAUUACUGUCAGAGUGCUCACUACAUCAGCAGCCAGUAUGUGUUCACACAGUGAAAAACAGUCAUACAA
This is a non-coding RNA of Xiphophorus hellerii (green swordtail), 534 nucleotides long. The record is from the annotation of a RefSeq genome assembly. NCBI's taxonomy places the organism in Eukaryota, Metazoa, Chordata, Actinopteri, Cyprinodontiformes, Poeciliidae.